GGUGCUGUGGUAUAGUGGACUAAACCUCUGCCUGUGGAGCAGACAUCUCCUAUGACCACAGGUUCUAGUCCUGGCUGCUCCU
RNAcentral lists this transfer RNA (82 nucleotides) under Oryctolagus cuniculus (rabbit). It matches the Rfam family "tRNA". Rfam says of the family: Transfer RNA (tRNA) molecules are approximately 80 nucleotides in length. Lineage: Eukaryota; Metazoa; Chordata; Mammalia; Lagomorpha; Leporidae. The record is from Rfam by way of RNAcentral.